AAAAAGUUCCUGAAUUUUCCCCAAUCGUCAAAUUCCCAAUUCCUUUUCCAUCCAAACAGCAAUUAAACACCUUCGACUGUAAAUUCCUCUCCAAAAUUUUCCUCCAGCUGGGAGCAUUUCUUUCCCUCUUUUUCCGGCGACUGAUCGGAGAUGGUUUCACCGGAGAAUACCAACUGGCUUUAUGAUUAUGGGUUCGAAGAGAGUGCUGUCCCUGAUUCGAAUUUCUCAGCUACUGCAUCUGGGUUUAAUUGGCAGCAAAACUUGAAUAGUUCAAGAAAUGUUAGGUAUUUUAUUUUCUCAAAUUUUUGCAUUUUCUUAUGUAACUCGGUAAAGUUAGGAUCUUUUACCUGAUUAUGAAUCUUUAUUUUUUCCAUGAUUUAGAAAUUUUGAGUCAUGAUAACCCGUUUGACUGCAACUGUGCUUGUCCUCUAUGUGCCGUAAAGUUUAAACUUUUAGGGAUUUUUACGCUGCACAUUUGGAAUUUCUAAUCUUAGGUUUUAGUUUUUCAGCUGUCUUUUCUGGUUUUAGUUUUGGGCCCAAACAUAGUCUAACUUGGCAUGAUGGAUAUAUUGAGCAUUUCACAUUUGUUACCUCUUUACUUUAUCUUAUUGUGAUUUGAUGGCACAGUGUUACUUUUAGUGUUCUUCAGGUCUAAAGUUAGGAUUAUGCAAGCAAUUCAUUGUUGUCAUUUUCCGGAUGAAAAGUUAGUAAAUUUUGGAAGUAAUGGAAUUCCACUAUCUUAUCUACAGGUGGUUAGUAGAAAAUACAUAUGACUAGUGAAAAAUAAUUCUUUACAUAGAAUUAUACGUAUCUUUGGGAAAAGAAUUUAGAGGCCGACCUAGAUUCAACUAUAGAAUUAAGAUAGGAAUGCUGGAAGUGUCCAAUUACCUGAAGUUUCCUCUUUAUCCGAGUUGAGAAGGUAGAAACUUAAUGGUUUUCAGCGCAAGCUACUAUAAGGUUCCUAACGUCCAGCCCUAAGUGGAGUAGCAGGUUGAAUAUAUAAUACUACUUUGGAAAACUGAAAUAUUUGACUUGUCUUCCCAUGCGUGUUACCUACUUUCCAUCAGAAUCCUGCAUUUCGCUUACUAAAGUGAUGACAUCAUCAGAAUCUGUUAGUAGUGGCAGUGGUUGGAUAAGAAACAACGCAGGAGGAUGUACUGAAGAUGGAGGAUAGGGAAAUACUUUUAGCACAGAGCAUCCGAUGUGCAGAAAGAGGUGAGCAGAUAUUACCGUAGACAUUACGACAAGGUUUGAAGGGAAUAGGCGAAAACAUUCAUAACAUCGUUAAAGGGAAGUAGAAAAUAGGAAUCACUUAAACUAGGAGGAUGCUAUUUCUUUGAUGAGAAACUUGAUGGCAGUAGAUUGAGGAAAAAAUAUUAGUACCACUUAACUUAUUGAGAACGAAAGGAGGAAAUUCUAAGAGAAGGUGCAGAGUAGAAAGAGGAACAGAUAUGGAGAGGAAAGUUAGGGGAAAGAAGUGUUUGGAUAUUUAAAGAUAGACUAAAAAAUGAAGAAUAUAGAAGGAAGCUAAAUAGAGAGGAGAAGGAAUAGAAGACAACUAGUACUACUACAAGAACCAACACGACAACUAAGCCUCAAUCCGGCACUAGUUGGGUCAGCUAUGAAUCCUCUGUAUCGACUCCACUCUGUUUGGAUCCAUUUUAUUACAAUAUUGAUAAUAUGUCUUCAAAGAUAAUUUUGCACCUCACACUUAUCCCUACACUUUAUCGGAAACCGUCUCUCUACCCCUCUGGGUAUGGGUAAGGUCUAAGGUCUGCAUACACACUACCCUCCCCGGGUGGGUGAGAUUAUAUUCGGUUAUUGUUGUUGUUGUCGUUGUAUACUUAUCCCUGCACUUACUUUUAUAAUGACAUAAGUUUCUAAACACAGCGAAGAAGCUCCUGGAAAAUGUUGGACCAAAUGUAAGCAUACCAUCUUGAGUAAGCCUUGAUCUCAACUAGUUAGUAUCGCCUGUAUGGAUCUUUUGCUUCUACUACUAGAAGCGUAAAUUAAGCACGAAAUGGAAUAAUGUUCUUUAAUAUUGGCUAAAAUUGAGCCAUGCUGGGGAGGGGGAUUCAAUGUUUCUAGUACCCAAUUGAAUGACUAAAAUUUGCUUGAUUGUCAGCUAGAUGUGUUCACUACACGUGAUUUAAAAUUUCUGAAUUGAUGUAGCUAUUGCUGUAUGAUAAUUUUCAAUAGAUCAGCAGGGAGUUACAUCAUGAAAUAUUUUUUGCUUUCUAGUUCAAGUUUGUGCAUUCUGCUAGGUUUCUAUUGACAUAAUUUUUGGUCUUUCAUGUGGCUGAUUCUUCUGUUUAUUGUUUUAGUUUUGACCUCUGUUUCCUUUUUUUUUUUGUGCUUGUUUCUAGUGCUGAAGUUGAUGGAUCCAUUGGUGAAUCAGGCUACCCAAAGGAAAAUGGUUCUAAGAAACGGUAAGAACAUUGACCUUUUCUGAACAUUUUUGUGGUAAUCUCGAUUAUUGCUGUUGAAUAAAGAUGUGAUGCUGCACUCAAUCACUGCUGUUUUCAACUAUUGUUAAUUAAAUCAGUGAGGUGACACGUUCCUCCCUCUCUCUUUUUUAAGUUUUGAGAUUUCUUUACCUUUUUUUAAAUUUCUGUGAUUCGUCAUUCUAGAAACAUCUGUUGCUUCUGCUUUCAAUUUGGUGAGGUGUAAGUCUGAAAUCAUUUCGGCCAAUUUAUGUGUCUGAAAUCAUUUCGACAAUUUAUGUGUUCUCUCACAAUGUUAGGUAAUUGUUACAGGGCUAGAGUUGAAUCAUGUGGUCCAACAAGUUCAAAAGCUUGCAGAGAGAAACUGCGGAGAGAUAGGCUAAAUGACAAGUGAUCUCACAGCCCAUUAUAUAAGAACUUUUCAUUUUAUUUCACGAUGAAUUGCUAAAACUGACGUAAUUAUCAGGUUCACGGAAUUGGGUGCACUCCUUGAGCCUGGCAGGCCCCCCAAAACGGACAAAUCUGCUAUUCUGGUGGAUGCUGUUCGCAUGGUGACCCAGUUACGCGGU
This 3013-nucleotide long non-coding RNA is filed under the name Nicotiana benthamiana. RNAcentral describes it as "long non-coding RNA (NBEN_LNC029946)". The record is from RNAcentral. Lineage: Eukaryota; Viridiplantae; Streptophyta; Magnoliopsida; Solanales; Solanaceae.